GACGAACGCUGGCGGCGUGCUUAACACAUGCAAGUCGAACGGAAAGGCCCUGCUUUUGUGGGGUGCUCGAGUGGCGAACGGGUGAGUAACACGUGAGUAACCUGCCCUUGACUUUGGGAUAACUUCAGGAAACUGGGGCUAAUACCGGAUAGGAGCUCCUGCUGCAUGGUGGGGGUUGGAAAGUUUCGGCGGUUGGGGAUGGACUCGCGGCUUAUCAGCUUGUUGGUGGGGUAGUGGCUUACCAAGGCUUUGACGGGUAGCCGGCCUGAGAGGGUGACCGGGGAAAGGGGGAGUGAGUGGAGGAGGGGAAGGAGACGGGAGGAAGCAGGGGGGAGUGGUGGAAAAUGGGCGGAAGGAGGAAGAAGGAAGGGGGAGGGGGGGAUGAAGGGUGGAGGGUAGUAAAAAGAGAGCGAGGGUGAAGAUGGGUGAGGGAAGGGAAGGGAUAAAGAGGAAAGGGCGAAAUAAGUG
This 468-nucleotide ribosomal RNA is filed under the name uncultured bacterium. RNAcentral's name for it is "partial 16S ribosomal RNA". The stretch from base 20 to 332 matches the Rfam family "Bacterial small subunit ribosomal RNA", at positions 47 to 358 of the family's 1533-position model. The record is from RNAcentral.